This 290-nucleotide ribosomal RNA is filed under the name uncultured bacterium. RNAcentral describes it as "partial 16S ribosomal RNA". It matches the Rfam family "Bacterial small subunit ribosomal RNA", at positions 775 to 1067 of the family's 1533-position model. The record is from RNAcentral.
GGAUUAGAUACCCUGGUAGUCCACACCGUAAACGAUGAGUGCUAGUUGUCUGCAGGCAUGCCUGUAGGUGACGCAGCUAACGCAUUAAGCACUCCGCCUGGGGAGUACGGCCGCAAGGUUAAAACUCAAAGAAAUUGACGGGGGCCCGCACAAGCGGUGGAGCAUGUGGUUUAAUUCGAAGCAACGCGCAGAACCUUACCUACCCUUGACAUGCCCGGCUACAUCCAGAGAUGGAUGGUUCCUUCGGGACCGGUGCACAGGUGCUGCAUGGCUGUCGUCAGCUCGUGCCG